This 363-nucleotide long non-coding RNA is filed under the name Dasypus novemcinctus (nine-banded armadillo). RNAcentral's name for it is "lncRNA (ENSDNOG00000050068.1)". The record is from RNAcentral. Lineage: Eukaryota; Metazoa; Chordata; Mammalia; Cingulata; Dasypodidae.
UGAGCCAGGAAAUGGUAGCCUAAAACAUGUGCUUCACAUGAAGCUUCUUUCUGACCUAUUGUUUAUUUUUCACAGGCUCCCUUAUCAACUCAUGGCCUAGCACUGAAAUUCCAUAACUAUUCAAUAACCAAGAAGAAUGUGCAAGGCUGUGACCAUGGAUGGUGGGAAAUUAAUGAGCACAUGUACUGUGGCUCCUACAUGGAUCACCAGACAAUUUUCCGAGUGCCCAGCUCCUUCGUUCACAUUCAGCUCCGGUGCAGUUCUAGUCUUUCGGACAAGCCACUUUUGGUGGAAUAUGGCAGUUAUAACAUCAGCCAACGUAAGCCUAGCACCAACUCCUUAGAAACCUUGAUACAAAGCCAA